UAAGGCUGAACCACUGCAGUCACUGUUUUAAUGAUGUCUUUAGUACCUUUCUGGACCUUGAAAGUGUUGAUUAUAGAUAUCGAGUCAUAAACCUGUUGGAUUUCAUCAAAAAUAUCUUAAUUUGUGUUCUGAAGAUGAACGAAGGUCUUACGGGUGUGGAACGACAUGAGGGAGAGUAAUUAAUGACAGAAAUUACAUUUUUGGCUGAACUAACCCUUUAACUCAUGAGUGUAGUUUGUGGGAAAGAUGCAACUAGAUCCUACACACGUGCCAAAAGUCACCACAGAACUACAUUUCCCAGCAUGCCUUCUGGUCACCACCUGCACCCAGUCAGACAUGAUCACAUGAUCAGCUCCUCACCCACACCUGUGCGAUGAUCCUCUUCAUCUGCAUCAGAUGAGACUGUUAUUCUCCAACAUUUCAACUACAGUGAUGAUAUCCAGUCAUAUUUACAUCAUAUUUAGUUCAGUUUUGUAACUUACAGAAGAAACACAAGCCAAGGAAAACUACGCACAUUCGACAGCUGCGCGAGAACAACACAUAUGUGUGUAUAUGUGCUGCCGAAGCGAGCACGAACUGAGAGAUUGGACCACAGCUAUAUAUAUCGGGGACCCCCAGGUGUGUAUUUCAGUGGUGGUGAGCGGAUAAACCACUUAUUCUACUCCCUUACGUCAAAUGUGACUGUAAAUCGUGGGGACGUAGCCCUGUAAACAUCUAAAAACCAGGAUAUUUUCAAACCAGCAGUUUUGUGUGGGUUUACCGUAGUAUUUUCUGAGCUGUAGACCAUAUACAAAUGAACCCUGAUCUUCUAGCAGUGAUAGGACGGCUCGGCCUGACGCAGAGGAGCUCUUUGUCACGUGGUGCGUCCCUCCCCCACAGACAGAGCGGAACCUCCUGGGGCGAAAGAGCGGGAAGUCUGUCUGCGGGGGAGGAGCGUGUCAUGUGACCGAGAGCUGCUCUGCUAGCUUCACUCCGUCAUGAUUCACAGACUAGCACAGAGACCUGGAAACCCUCCUUUCAGAACAGCCGAGGCAGGGAAACUCGAGUUUAAGAGUCACAUGACAAAACAGAACAGAUGCUUUUGUGUAAACGGCCAUCAGCGUGAUGCCAAAUCAAAGGGGAGAAGGUGCAAGUCAUGUAGAUAUGACCAUCAGUGAGCAAUAGAACCGACAGUCCCUGUCUGAAGUUAUGGUCCCGGAGCGAAUCCCCUCAACAUUCAAGAGUUAUUCUCUCCUGAUGUCAACAUGAGUGAGGCCCUGAGGAAAAUCCUCCAUUUCAAAUAAAUGCUCAUGGAAAAAUAACACUUCUACUAAUCAAAGAAUCCUGAAAUACACUGAUAAUAACAAAUGUUUGAGCAUCAAAUCAGCAUAUCAGAAUGAUUUCAGAAGGAUCAUGUGACACUGAAGACUGGAGUAAUAAUGCUGAACGUAAUUUACGAUAAAGUUUGUCGAGACAAACUUUGAAAUUGGCUUGAGAGAGCCUGACCAGAAAGUUUUGAAGUAGUAGCUUGAAGUUUGAA
Molecule: long non-coding RNA, 1519 nt
Organism: Megalobrama amblycephala (Wuchang bream)
Lineage: Eukaryota; Metazoa; Chordata; Actinopteri; Cypriniformes; Xenocyprididae
Exons: 3
Source: RefSeq, a predicted model, not a curated record